This is a long non-coding RNA of Metopolophium dirhodum (rose-grain aphid), 884 nucleotides long. RefSeq lists it as uncharacterized. The transcript has 2 exons. The record is from RefSeq and is a predicted model, not a curated record. NCBI's taxonomy places the organism in Eukaryota, Metazoa, Arthropoda, Insecta, Hemiptera, Aphididae.
UGCAAAAUAGCAUUAAAAAAAUAAUAAAAUUAUUAUUCUAUUCAAAAUGUAUCAAUCAUAAUACCGGCAAAAUUAAUCAACCUUAGAAAAUAGGUAGGUAAUAUUUAAAAUAAAUUAUUGUGAUUUAUACCUAAUUAUUAAAUUAUUUUAUAAAUUUAACAAUUUAAGGUAAAGUAGAUAUAACAGCUACAUUUAAACUGUUUGUGGAGUUGUUAAACGCAGUAAACAUAUGCUGUAAAGGUUCAAUUGACAAUACAUUCGAAAAAAGAUCUGGCGUCCAUCAAAAUUGGAAAUUCAACAAGGGUUUAUCAACUACAAAAAUGAUGUUUCAUAACUACGUGAAGUAGAUGAUGCAAAGCGAGAAAAAAAAAGUCAAUUAACCAGACAGUGCAUUGUGUUAUGUUGGCCCAGGACUAAUUAUUCAAGACUGAUUGCCGAUUGCGAGUAUUGUUGAUUGUGUUGUGAUAAACCAUUAUUUUUAAAAUUAGAGAGUGCUCUAAAAGCAGUAGACGUAUAUUAUAAAUCAUUUUUUGCCCUACACCUUGAUUACUCUACUGAAAGUGGUCAAUUUCAGCAAUUACAACAAAUACAACAAUAUUUUUUUGGUACUUAUGGGUUAUCGCCAUUAGGCAUAAGCCUUAGUUGUCGAAGAAAAAAUGAAUAAUUUCAAGACCAAUAAAAAAAAGGUGGAUAAGUGGAUGUCGCUCUGCUGUACAGUAGGUUACAAGUGGUUCACUGUAAUGGAUGGUGUUAAAUUUGAAUUCAAUGAUAUAAUAUCAUUGAAUAAGAAAAACGAUUCUGAGCGAAAACGGUCAGUCAGCCUAUGAUAUUACCAAUUAUAUUUGAUGAUAUUAUUGUGAAUAAAGUAAUUUAUAUAUAACCUA